GAUGAAGAACGUAGCGAAAUGCGAUAAGUAGUGUGAAUUGCAGAAUUCAGUGAAUCAUCGAAUCUUUGAACGCACAUUGCGCCCUUUGGUAUUCCAAAGGGCAUGCCUGUUCGAGCGUCAUUUGUGCCCUCAAGCUUUGCUUGGUGUUGGGCGUCUUGUCUCUAGCUUUGCUGGAGACUCGCCUUAAAGUAAUUGGCAGCCGGCCUACUGGUUUCGGAGCGCAGCACAAGUCGCACUCUCUAUCAGCAAAGGUCUAGCAUCCAUUAAGCCUUUUUUUCAACUUUUGACCUCGGAUCAGGUAGGGAUACCCGCUGAACUUAAGCAUAUCAAUAAGCGGAGGA
Molecule: unclassified non-coding RNA, 341 nt
Filed under: soil metagenome
Description: partial contains 5.8S ribosomal RNA, internal transcribed spacer 2, and large subunit ribosomal RNA
Rfam family: 5.8S ribosomal RNA (bases 1-120)
Source: RNAcentral